Molecule: ribosomal RNA, 474 nt
Filed under: uncultured bacterium
Lineage: Bacteria
Description: bacterial SSU rRNA
Rfam family: Bacterial small subunit ribosomal RNA
Source: RNAcentral
ACUCCUACGGGAGGCAGCAGUAGGGAAUCUUCCACAAUGGGCGCAAGCCUGAUGGAGCAACACCGCGUGAGUGAAGAAGGGUUUCGGCUCGUAAAGCUCUGUUGUUAAAGAAGAACACGUAUGAGAGUAACUGUUCAUGCGUUGACGGUAUUUAACCAGAAAGUCACGGCUAACUACGUGCCAGCAGCCGCGGUAAUACGUAGGUGGCAAGCGUUAUCCGGAUUUAUUGGGGCGUAAAGAGAGUGCAGGCGGUUUUCUAAGUCUGAUGUGAAAGCCUUCGGCUUAACCGGAGAAGUGCAUCGGAAACUGGAUAACUUGAGUGCAGAAGAGGGUAGUGGAACUCCAUGUGUAGCGGUGGAAUGCGUAGAUAUAUGGAAGAACACCAGUGGCGAAGGCGGCUACCUGGUCUGCAGCUGACGCUGAGACUCGAAAGCAUGGGUAGCGAACAGGAUUAGAUACCCUGGUAGCGAGUAG